RNAcentral lists this ribosomal RNA (253 nucleotides) under uncultured bacterium. RNAcentral's name for it is "partial 16S ribosomal RNA". It matches the Rfam family "Bacterial small subunit ribosomal RNA", at positions 524 to 776 of the family's 1533-position model. The record is from RNAcentral.
UACAGAGGUCUCAAGCGUUGUUCGGAUUCAUUGGGCGUAAAGGGUGCGUAGGCUGCGCGGUAAGGCGGGUGUGAAAUCUCGGGGCUUAACUCCGAAACUGCAUUCGAUACUGCCGUGCUUGAGGACUGGAGAGGAGACUGGAAUUUACGGUGUAGCGGUGAAAUGCGUAGAUAUCGUAAGGAAGACCAGUGGCGAAGGCGGGUCUCUGGACAGUUCCUGACGCUGAGGCACGAAGGCCAGGGGAGCAAACGGG